RNA transcript from Myotis davidii, 4841 nucleotides. It is a transcript of the gene named chromosome unknown open reading frame, human C1orf27, with no coding region annotated. The record is from RefSeq and is a predicted model, not a curated record. Lineage: Eukaryota; Metazoa; Chordata; Mammalia; Chiroptera; Vespertilionidae. The transcript has 15 exons.
CCGGCUCUCCUCAGCAGGCCGCGUGGCCACUGUCCGCGAGGUGGCGCCACAUGGUGCUAAUUAACCCACGCCCCUCCCUAAAAAGCAGGGCCAGCUUACCAUCAAAGCUUCGGGAGGCCAUGGCUAGUCCUCUUUGGCGGCUCCUAGACACCGAGCCGCUAGAGGGCAUCGGUCCCGGCAGGGCCGGAUGGCAAACGCCGCGGUGACUGGUACCCGGAAGGGGGCGGGGUGGCCCGCAGGCGCUUUGGCAGAGGAACUGCGGAGAAGGCAGGGGGCCGUUGCGUCAUCAGUCUGCGCCACCCGACGCCCGAGACCCGGGGUGGGAGUGGGAAGUAAGGGGUGGGGCGUCAGGGGUGGGGUGUCCGUCGCCUGCUGAUGAAUUACUGCCUAAGGCCCGAGGGAAAUCGGUCCCUGGAGGCUGGCGCCUGGACCCCGAGCUCCUGGGACUGACUGGCAGGAGAUUGAAUUAGUUCUCAAUAAUGGGAAGAACCUACAUUGUAGAAGAGACUAUUGGCCAGUAUCUCUCCAACCUCAAUCUCCAAGGAAAGUCUUUUGUCUCAGGUCUUCUAAUAGGACAGUGUUCUUCACAAAAGGAUUAUGUGAUUCUUGCCACUAGAACACCACCGAAAGAGGAAAACAAUGAGAACCUCAAACAUCCCAAAGAUAAGGUGGAUAACUUGGAUGAAGAAUGGGCCACAGAACAUGCUAACCAGGUAUCCAGAAUGCUACCUGGGGGACUUCUAGUUCUUGGAGUAUUUAUUAUUACAACAUUAGAAAUGGGAAAUGAUUUUCAAAAUACCCUGCGCAGACUAGUAUUUGCUGUGGAAAAAUCUAUGAAUAAAAAGAGACUGUGGAAUUUCACAGAGGAGGAAGUCUCAGAUCGAGUGACACUUCAUAUUUGCUCUUCUACAAAAAAAAUACUUUGUCGAACUUAUGAUAUCCAUGAUCCAAAGAGUUCAGCAAAACCAGCAGAUUGGAAGUAUCAAAAUGGACUAUUGACUUCAUGGCUUUCUUUAGAGUGUACAGUUCAUAUUAAUAUUCACAUCCCACUGUCUACUACUUCUGUCAGCUAUCCUCUGGAGAAAAAUACAAAGAAUGGACUUGCACGCUGGGCGAAGCAAAUAGAAAAUGGUGUUUAUUUGAUUAAUGGACAAGUUAAAGCUGAAGAUUGUGACCUACUAGAAGGACAGAAAAAACCUAGAGGAAAUGCUCAAGCAAGUCGUUAUUCUUUUGAUGUCAGAGUGUUAACGCAGUUGCUUCUGAAUUCAGACCACAGAUCCACAGCCACCGUCCAGAUCUGCAGCGGCUCUGUAAACCUUAAGGGCGCUGUGAAGUGCAGAGCUUACAUUCAUAGCAAUAAACCCAAGGUUAAGGAUGGUGUGCAGGCAGUGAAGAGAGAUAUAUUGAAUACAGUUGCCGAUCGUUGUGAAAUACUAUUUGAGGAUCUGCUUUUGAAUGAAAUUCCAGAAAAAAAAGAUUCUGAAAAAGAGUUUCACAUCCUUCCUCACCGGGUUUUUGUCCCCAUUCCGGGAUCCACGGUAAUGUUAUGUGAUUAUAAAUUUGGUGAUGAGUCAGCUGAAGAAAUCAGAGACCAUUUUAUAGAGAUGUUAGAUCAUAGGAUUCAAAUAGAAGAUUUGGAAAUUGCAGAGGAAAUAAACACAGCUUUUCUGAGUUCCUCUAUGAAUUCUGAAGCUCCGUUGGACAAUAGAGAUGAUGAACAGCCAAAAGAACCAAUGCAAACUUCAGUAGUAUUGAAAAUUCGGCAAAACAUGGGUAUGAUUGCAGCAUUUGCAGUUGCAGUCCUUGCUGUGGGUAUCUUCUUUCACUACUUCAGUGAUUAGGGUGAAGCACAAAGAGGUUCCUGAUCAUCCACAGAACAUUGACCAACAAUUAUGAAUAAUAAAAGAUGCAAACAAGCCUUCUGCAUUUAAGACAACAGCAGCCAGACCUGCUACCAAACUCCUAUUAGAUUUUAGUCCUCUUGAUCUGGAUCACAUAUUCAUCAGGACAUUGAGAAUUUGAAUAGUCAGGGUUGGCUGAAUAUCUUAGUAAUAGAACAACAGGAGAAAUUUCUACAAAGUGGGGCAACAACCUAUUGGGUAAGUUCAUACUGUAGGACCUUUCUAAUGUUUACCCAGUUCCAAAAUAUUGACCGAGUUCUGAUCAAGGAGUAGGAAACCUUUCCGGAUUUGAAUCAGUAAAGAUUGCCAUAAAUCAUGUGCUUUCUCAUGUUUGUAUAUCAUAAUUGUUUCACUAUAUUAAAUAAGAUUUUUUUCUUCCAGCAGUACAUUAGACUAGGUACUAUAAAACACCUAGAUCCUGAAUAAAAAUAUACCUUUGAAUGCAUUAAUACACUCAAGGAAAGUAGGGGAGAGCUCCAAAAAUUAUACCUUUAUUUUUCUUUCGCCACAAAAAUGAAUACAUUUUGAGUUGGAAAUUGUAAAUACUGUAUUAAGCAUAUGGGUGGGCUGUGGUUGCUCAGAUGGCAGAUACCAAUUGCAGCACUGCCUUAGGCAGUUUGCCUCAGACCAGAAACAAGGAGAGUAAUCUGAAUCUGAGAUCCUACCCUAGCCAGGACAGUUGACCUGGUCCUCAAUUUGUAGUCCCCUAUAACGCCUGACAGCAGCAAGACAGAGGCUGAAAAUUCUCAUAGAUUAAGAUAAAUCAAUGUUAUUUCAUGACUAGAGAUCACCAGUCACAAAUUGAAACUAACUAGGAUAAGAAAGAACCUAUAGAAAUAACCACCUUCAGAUUACAUUCUCUAGAAAUGAGAACUGUUACUUGAAAUUUAAAAAAAAAAAUCCUUGGAAAUGUUGAAUGUCAUAUUAGACUCAUCUGAAAAGACAUUGAAUAAACAGAAAGCUAAAUCUAAAAAAUGACCCAAUGUACAGCAAGGAGAAAUGAGCUUCUGGAAGAUCUAAAUACUAAGAGGUAUGGAAGGAAGAUUUUGAAGACUAAAGUACUAGGGGAGGAAAGAAUGGAGAGAAUGGAGGAGUGGCAAUAUUUGAAGAAAUAACAAUUUUCUACAUUUGUUGGAAAACAUGAAUUCAUAAAUUCAGGAAGCACAAUAUAUAUCCCAAACAUAUAUAGAUGAAAUUCAUACCUAACCCCAAUGAAUUUAACUGCUAGAUAACAAACAAAUUUUAAAAGCAAUCAAAGUGAGGAAAGGAUCAAGGAAGAUGAGACAAAUACUGAGUAGGCUUCUUUAUGGCAACAAUGUAUAUACCCCAAAGAUGGUAAAAUAACACCUUCAAAAUUCUAAAACAAACUGAUCAACUUAGAAUUUGAGCCAAGCAAGACUGAAAGACAUGUUCAGACAUGACCAUAAAGACAUGUUCAGAUGAAAAACAGAUUUUGCCAUCAAUAGACCUUCAUUAAAGAAACUGCAACAGCAUGAUCUCAAGAAGGAAAAGGAUUCCAAAAAGUGAUUGGAAAUUGAAGAGCUAGUGAGCAAAUAAAAUAAUAAACAUGGAAAUCAAGUGUUGUUUAUAGAAAACAAUUGUAAUGAAGUGUUUAUAAGAAAUAAAGUUGUAAACAAAUGUAAAACAAUAUUUUAUGCAACAUUAAUGUGUACUUUUAAAAUAGGAUAUAAUUGAAAAACGACAAUGGCUUAUGAGAGGAAGAUGAUUAGGAUUAAGGUAUUCUGAGAUUCCUUUAUUCAGAAAAUAGGUAAGAUAUUGUUUAACUUUAAAAUUGUUAAAUAUAUAUGGUAAAAUGUUCAAGUAUGACUGUUAAAGAAUAGAUAUGGGAUGAAUCAUUGUAGAGGAAAAUAAGUUUAAAAUAUGGAAUAGGAAGUACAAAAAAGGGGAAGAAAUUAUGGGUGAGAAGAAGAACAAAAGUAGAUAAUAAGACAUCAAAUAAUUAAAAUAAAUAUGAAUGGACUAAAAUAAAUGAACCAACAGGUUGAUUUUUAAAAAUUUUUCUGGGUUAAAAAAACAAACAUUAGGCAAAUAGCAAAAGAGAAUACGUGUAGUUUUAGUGAUGUUAAAAUUAGAUUUUAUGAUGUGUAAGGAUGGAGAAGGUUACUAAAUGGAAAAGGAUAAAUUCUCUAGGAAUAUAUAACAAUUGUAAAUUUGUAUUUCCUCUAUAAAAUGACCUCAAAAUGUAUGAACUAUAGGGCUAAGUCAACAAAUUGAACAACAUAAUGGGAGAUUUUAAUAGCUCUUAAUUAUAGAUAAAUCAGGCAGACUGAAAAAAUUAGUGAAUAUAGAUUUGAAUUUUCACUAUUGAGUCAGUGAACAUAUUAAGAAUAAUCAACAGAAUAUUCUUCUUAUUCAUUGUAUAUCAGCAAAAAAUGACCAUGUGCUACACAUGAAAUAAGUUAUAGUAAAUUUCAAAAAGUUAAUAUUAAAUGGAUAAUCAGAAAUAAGUUAGAGGUCAGUAAUAAAAGUUAAUUCUUAAAAAUCUUAUAUUUACAAGUUUAAUAAAACUUUACAGAUGAAAGAAGAAAACAUACUUAGAAUCUAUAAGUACUACAUUUGGAAAAUCGGGCGGUGCAGCAGAAACUGCACUUUGAGGGACAUGGUUUUAAACUAAGGGACAAAACUAAGUGUGUAACUUAAGGAAAAGAACAACAGAAUAAAUAAUGUAGAAGCAAGGAGACACAGGCAAUGGAAGAAAUGAAUGAGUUUGAAAACAAAAUCACAAUGCCAGAGUUUUCAUGACAAAAUAAAAUUUUGAACAAGAGGAAAACAGGACACAAGUAAACAACAUAAUGAUUGAAAAAGGAUAUAAUAAAGUACCUAUAGAUAUAGUAAAGAUGAAAAAUGAUAAGAGACUACCAGGAGCAUUUUUAUUUAAAAACUUAGACAAAAUAGACCAUGGUCUAGGAAAACGCAGGU